UAACUGACGCUGAGGAGCGAAAGCGUGGGGAGCGAACAGGAUUAGAUACCCUGGUAGUCCACGCCGUAAACGGUGGGUGCUAGUUGUGGGCCACAUUCCACGUGGUCCGUGACGAAGUUAACACAUUAAGCACCCCGCCUGGGGAGUACGGUCGCAAGACUAAAACUCAAAGGAAUUGACGGGGGCCCGCACAAGCGGCGGAGCAUGCGGAUUAAUUCGAUGCAACGCGAAGAACCUUACCAAGGCUUGACAUAUAGAGGAAACGUGCAGAAAUGUACGCCCCGCAAGGUCUCUAUACAGGUGGUGCAUGGUUGUCGUCAGCUCGUGUCGUGAGAUGUUGGGUUAAGUCCCGCAACGAGCGCAACCCUCGUCCUAUGUUGCCAGCACGUAAAGGUGGGAACUCAUGGGAGACUGCCGGGGUCAACUCGGAGGAAGGUGGGGAUGACGUCAAAUCAUCAUGCCCCUUAUGUCUUGGGCUUCACGCAUGCUACAAUGGCCAGUACAAAGGGCUGCAAUACCGUAAGGUGGAGCGAAUCCCAAAAAGCUGGUCUCAGUUCGGAUUGAGGUCUGCAACUCAACCUCAUGAAGUCGGAGUCGCUAGUAACCGCAGAUCAGCAACGCUGCGGUGAAUACGUUCCCGGGCCUUGUACACACCGCCCGUCAAGUCACGAAAGUCGGUAACACCCGAAGCCGGUGGCCUAACC
This 704-nucleotide ribosomal RNA is filed under the name uncultured Actinomycetes bacterium. RNAcentral's name for it is "bacterial SSU rRNA". It matches the Rfam family "Bacterial small subunit ribosomal RNA", at positions 737 to 1440 of the family's 1533-position model. Lineage: Bacteria; Bacillati; Actinomycetota; Actinomycetes. The record is from RNAcentral.